RNAcentral lists this ribosomal RNA (292 nucleotides) under uncultured bacterium. RNAcentral's name for it is "partial 16S ribosomal RNA". The record is from RNAcentral.
GGACUACUAGGGUAUCUAAUCCUGUUUGCUCCCCUUGCUUUCGCGCCUCAGCGUCAGGUUCAGCCCAGAAAACCGUCUUCACCACUGGUGUUCUUCCACAUAUCUACGCAUUUCACCGCUACACGUGGAAUUCCGUUUUCCCUAACUGUCCUCUAGUGAGAUAGUUUCAAAUGCAGCUCUGGGGUUGAGCCCCAGAAUUUCACAUCUGACUUAUCUUACCGCCUACGCGCCCUUUACGCCCAGUAAUUCCGAUCAAUGCUUGCACCCUCCGUAUUACCGCGGCUGCUGGCAC